GUCCCAAGGGUUUGGCUGUUCGCCAAUUAAAGCGGUACGCGAGCUGGGUUUAAAACGUCGUGAGACAGUUUGGUCCCUAUCUGCCGUGGGCGCAGGAGAUUUGAGAGGAUCUGUUCCUAGUACGAGAGGACCGGGAUGGACGAACCACUGGUGUUCCUGUUGUGGCGCCAGCCGCAUAGCAGGGUAGCUACGUUCGGAAAGGAUAACCGCUGAAAGCAUCUAAGCGGGAAGCCCACCUCAAGACGAGAUCUCCCUAGACUUUUGUCUCUUAAGGUCCGUUGGAGACUACAACGUUGAUAGGCCGGAUGUGUAAGCAGGGUAACCUGUUCAGCUAACCGGUACUAAUUGACCGUGAGGCUUGACCGUAU
This 368-nucleotide ribosomal RNA is filed under the name Desulfuromonas sp. Its description in RNAcentral is "bacterial LSU rRNA". It matches the Rfam family "Bacterial large subunit ribosomal RNA", at positions 2562 to 2925 of the family's 2925-position model. Lineage: Bacteria; Pseudomonadati; Thermodesulfobacteriota; Desulfuromonadia; Desulfuromonadales; Desulfuromonadaceae. The record is from RNAcentral.